Peromyscus maniculatus bairdii (prairie deer mouse) is the source of this 415-nucleotide non-coding RNA. The record is from RefSeq and is a predicted model, not a curated record. Lineage: Eukaryota; Metazoa; Chordata; Mammalia; Rodentia; Cricetidae.
UCUUUAGUCUCAGAUAUUUGGUCACAGUGAUGAGGAAAAUGACUGAUAUACUAGCCCACUGUCAAUCUCCUCUUCUUUGAUCUAUUGGCAAGGUGCCCAGUCACAGGGAUGACCCAGGUCAGCAGUGGCCAUACCCUCCUCUCUGCCAGUGACGGGUCACAUGACUGACUUUGAUGGACAAGAUGAAAGGAUGAUCUGAUACAGAGAAGAGUGAAGCAGUGAAGGACCCUAGGCUGAGAGGCAGAAGUCCUUGGUCUAACCCCAGCUCUGCCUCUGAGAUGCUCUGCAAUCCUGAAAGCUGGAAUGAUCCUCUCCCUGCUCCUCCCAGGAACUCAGAGCAAGUGAAGAUGUCAGCACCUUGGACAGCGCCCAACCCAUUCCAGGACUCUGAGCCAGAAAACGAAGCUCUCCAACU